This 291-nucleotide unclassified non-coding RNA is filed under the name uncultured fungus. Its description in RNAcentral is "partial contains 5.8S rRNA, ITS2 and 28S rRNA". It matches the Rfam family "Eukaryotic large subunit ribosomal RNA", at positions 668 to 961 of the family's 3401-position model. Lineage: Eukaryota; Fungi. The record is from RNAcentral.
AAGGAGUCUAACAUGCUUGCGAGUGUUUGGGUGUCAAACCCAUACGCGUAAUGAAAGUGAAUGCAGGUGGGAUCCUUUACCGGAGCACCAUCGACCGAACCGGAUGUUUACUGAAGGUUUUGAGUAAGAGCACGUAUGUUGGGACCCGAAAGAUGGUGAACUAUGCCUGAAUAGGGUGAAGCCAGAGGAAACUCUGGUGGAGGCUCGUAGCGGUUCUGACGUGCAAAUCGAUCGUCAAAUUUGGGUAUAGGGGCGAAAGACUAAUCGAACCAUCUAGUAGCUGGUUCCUGC